This is a long non-coding RNA of Lemur catta (Ring-tailed lemur), 310 nucleotides long. RefSeq lists it as uncharacterized. NCBI's taxonomy places the organism in Eukaryota, Metazoa, Chordata, Mammalia, Primates, Lemuridae. The transcript has 3 exons. The record is from RefSeq and is a predicted model, not a curated record.
CACAGGAAGGAAGGCUAGAAGGCCUGGGUGCCCUCCGGCCGGUAUUCCAUCCUCGCAUGGAGUGCGAGAGCCGACCCUUUGUUAGUUGAGUAUGACCAGAUAAGACUGGUCCAGUGGUUACGUCUUUCUCCUGCCCCGUGAGACAGGACACAGCAAGAAAUCAUCAUUUAUAAAGCAGAGAGACUAUAUUGGACACAGAAUCUGCUGCUGCCUUCAUUUUUGACUUUCCAGUCUCUAGCACUUGGGAGGUGGAAGAGACAGCUGUGAAGACCUCAGGACCCAUCUCACCCAACAUGCUCACUGACCGACG